UGCAGCCUUGUCAAAUUCAGUGUGUGCUGUUCAGUGGACCUCACUGGCCAAGAUGGCUGCCACAGAGAACAUGCAGUCCAUUUGCCCCACCUCCUGUCACUGUGGAGGCUGGGGAUAAAUAAAUACUGCAGAUAAAU
This is a small nucleolar RNA of Myripristis murdjan (pinecone soldierfish), 137 nucleotides long. Ensembl annotates it as small nucleolar RNA SNORA5. NCBI's taxonomy places the organism in Eukaryota, Metazoa, Chordata, Actinopteri, Holocentriformes, Holocentridae. The record is from Ensembl.